Molecule: ribosomal RNA, 811 nt
Filed under: uncultured organism
Description: bacterial SSU rRNA
Rfam family: Bacterial small subunit ribosomal RNA
Source: RNAcentral
UAUUGCGCAAUGAGCGAAAGCUAGACUGCAGCAACGCCGCGUGGGUGAUGAAGGCCUUCGGGUCGUAAAACCCUUAUCUGGGGGAAGAGUAAGGACGGUACCCCAGGAAUAAUCCUCGGCUAACUAUGUGCCAGCAUGCGCGGUAAUACAUAGGAGGCAAGCGUAAUCCGGAUUAACUGGGCGUACAGAGCGUUGAGGCGGCUUCGUAAGUUGGACGUGAAAGCUCCCGGCUUAACUGGGAGAGGCCGUUCAAUACUGCGGGGCUUGAGGGCAGCAGAGGGGGGUGGAAUUUCCGGUGUAGUGGUGAAAUGCGUAGAUAUCGGAAGGAACAUCAGUGGCGAAGGCGGCCCCAUGGCUUGCUCCUGACGCUGAAGGCGAAAGCUAGGGGAGCGAACAGGGAUUAGAACACCCGGGUAGUCCUUAGCCGUAAACGAUGGAUACUAGGUGUAGGAGGUUAAAAUUCAUUCUGUGCCGGAGCUAACGCGUUAAGUAUCCCGCCUGGGGAGUACGGUCGCAAGGCUAAAACUCAAAGGAAUUGACGGGGGCCCGCACAAGCAGCGGAGCGUGUGGUUUAAUUCGAUGCAACACGAAGAACCUUACCAGGGCUUGACAUGUAGGUAGUAGUGAAGCGAAACCGGAACGAUCCUUCGGGAAGCCUACACAGGUGCUGCAUGGCUGUCGUCAGCUCGUGCCGUGAGGUGUUAGGUUAAGUCCUGUAACGAGCGCAACCCCUGCCGUUAGUUACAAGUGUGUUACGGGACUGCCCGGCAAAACUGGGAGGAAGGUGGGGAUGACGUCAAGUCAGCAUGGC